Non-coding RNA from Vicugna pacos (alpaca), 466 nucleotides. NCBI's taxonomy places the organism in Eukaryota, Metazoa, Chordata, Mammalia, Artiodactyla, Camelidae. The record is from RefSeq and is a predicted model, not a curated record.
CAGUGGCCAGUCGGAGUCCACGGCUGGGGUUGGAUGCCUGCCAACCGUGGGCUGGCUGAGGCUGCAUCUAUGGCAGAGGAUACUCGGACCAUUUCAAAUCAGGCUAUCAGAGGAGCGAUGGGUGACACAGAAGAGCCAGAGCUGGGAAGUAAGGUGUGAUUCGGAAGAUGGCCAUUGAGAUACCACAGCACCUGGGAUGUACUGUCACGUUAGAAUGACACCGAGGGAAGCAUAGACCACGUGGGAAGAAGUGGAGGACGUCAGCCCAGUCCAGUGAGCUGUGCUGUAAGGUCAGGUGUGGAGCCUGAAAUGAGGUUAGCGUAAAGGACCGAGAUGAUGUGGUCACUCAGAAGCCAUCACCCCGAGAAGAUGAGCCGGAAUCUUCUGUACCUGAAAACAGCAAAGCUGCUUUUUUAACCUGAUUGAGGUUUGUAUCACAUGAUAUCACUUACAUGUGGAAUGUUUA